GCUGCACCACAGACAGGUCUUUUCUCUGCAGAUCUCAACAUAUCUUGCAGGAGCAGCUGGUGUUUAGCAUUGCUGUUUUGUUGCUGUGCAAAGUGGCCUUGAGCAGAUUGAUACAGGACAAGAUUCACUCUAUCACAUAUACAUUUUAAAUCUUAUUUCUUAUUCAUCCCUACUUAUCAUCCUGAGGUCUGUGCAUGGGAAACUGCAAAUCUACGAGUGUGCCUGAUGGUAGUGAGGUAUAAAUCAUCACAAAACUGUCUGCUGCUUUAAUGUCCUGCUUCAAUUUUGGGAGUAUUUCUGGAGGAGGAGGCAGAAAAUGUGAUCCUUGUGGAAAGACAAUGUUUUGUCUCUACAUUUGGAAGCUUCUUUCUUGAGGCAUUAUAAUCAACAGAUCGAGUGGGACUUAAAAUGUAUGUGUGCCGAUUGCCACAGUACACAGCACAUCACACUGUGACUUAAAACAUACUCUGAAGAGAUCUCUCCUUUUCAUAUGUAAUAUGGAACUGGAAUGAGAAUUAGAGGCA
This is a non-coding RNA of Zonotrichia albicollis (white-throated sparrow), 524 nucleotides long. The record is from RefSeq and is a predicted model, not a curated record. NCBI's taxonomy places the organism in Eukaryota, Metazoa, Chordata, Aves, Passeriformes, Passerellidae.